RNAcentral lists this ribosomal RNA (400 nucleotides) under uncultured bacterium. RNAcentral's name for it is "bacterial SSU rRNA". It matches the Rfam family "Bacterial small subunit ribosomal RNA", at positions 355 to 773 of the family's 1533-position model. The record is from RNAcentral.
UGGGGAAUAUUGCACAAUGGAGGAAACUCUGAUGCAGCGACGCCGCGUGAACGAUGAAGGCCUUCGGGUCGUAAAGUUCUGUCCUUGGGGACGAUAAUGACGGUACCCAAGGAGGAAGCCCCGGCUAACUACGUGCCAGCAGCCGCGGUAAUACGUAGGGGGCGAGCGUUGUCCGGAAUUAUUGGGCGUAAAGGGUUCGCAGGCGGUCCUUUAAGUCAGAUGUGAAAUGCAUAGGCUUAACCUAUGUUAGCAUUUGAAACUGGAGGACUUGAGUUAAGGAGAGGAAAGUGGAAUUCCUAGUGUAGCGGUGAAAUGCGUAGAUAUUAGGAGGAAUACCAGUGGCGAAGGCGACUUUCUGGACUUAUACUGACGCUGAGGAACGAAAGCGUGGGGAGCAAAC